Molecule: ribosomal RNA, 1084 nt
Filed under: uncultured bacterium
Lineage: Bacteria
Description: bacterial SSU rRNA
Rfam family: Bacterial small subunit ribosomal RNA
Source: RNAcentral
GAGUUUGAUCCUGGCUCAGAAUCAACGCUGGCGGCGUGCCUCAGACAUGCAAGUCGAACGAUUAAAGCCCUCUUCGGAGGGUGUAUAGAGUGGCGCACGGGUGAGUAACACGUAAGUAAUCUACCCUCGAGUGGGGAAUAACAACCGGAAACGGUUGCUAAUACCGCAUAAUGCAGCGGCACCGCAAGGUGACAGUUGUUAAAGAUUUAUUGCUUGAGGAGGAGCUUGCGGCAGAUUAGCUAGUUGGUAAGGUAAUGGCUUACCAAGGCAACGAUCUGUAGCCGGUCUAAGAGGACGGUCGGUCACACUGACACUGAAUAACGGGUCAGACUCCUACGGGAGGCAGCAGUCGGGAAUUUUGGGCAAUGGGCGAAAGCCUGACCCAGCAACGCCGCGUGAAGGAUGAAGUAUUUCGGUAUGUAAACUUCGUAAGAAUAGGAAGAAUAAAUGACGGUACUAUUUGUAAGGUCCGGCUAACUACGUGCCAGCAGCCGCGGUAAUACGUAGGGACCAAGCGUUGUUCGGAUUUACUGGGCGUAAAGGGCGCGUAGGCGGCAUGACAAGUCACUUGUGAAAUCUCCGGGCUUAACUCGGAACGGCCAAGUGAUACUGUCGCGCUAGAGUGCAGAAGGGGCAAUCGGAAUUCUUGGUGUAGCGGUGAAAUGCGUAGAUAUCAAGAGGAACACCUGAGGUGAAGACGGGUUGCUGGGCUGACACUGACGCUGAGGCGCGAAAGCUAGGGUAGCAAACGGGAUUAGAUACCCCGGUAGUCCUAGCCCUAAACGAUGAAUACUUGGUGUCUGGAGUUUUUAUCCUCCGGGUGCCGUCGCUAACGUUUUAAGUAUUCCGCCUGGGGAGUACGCACGCAAGUGUGAAACUCAAAGGAAUUGACGGGGACCCGCACAAGCGGUGGAGCAUGUGGUUUAAUUCGACGCAACGCGAAGAACCUUACCUGGACUAGAAUGCCUCUGACCGUCCCUUAACAGGGACUUUCCGGGCAACCGGACGGAGUGCAAGGUGCUGCAUGGCUGUCGUCAGCUCGUGUCGUGAGAUGUUGGGUUAAGUCCCGCAACGAGCGCAACCC